UAAGACAGAGGGUGCAAACGUUGUUCGGAAUUACUGGGCGUAAAGCGCGUGUAGGCGGCUACGCAAGUCGGAUGUGAAAGCCCUUGGCUCAACCGAGGAAGUGCAUUCGAAACUGCGCAGCUUGAGUCCCGGAGAGGAUGGUGGAAUUCUCGGUGUAGAGGUGAAAUUCGUAGAUAUCGAGAGGAACACCGGUGGCGAAGGCGGCCAUCUGGACGGUGACUGACGCUGAGACGCGAAAGCAUGGGGAGCAAACAGGAUUAGAUACCCUGGUAGUCCAUGCUGUAAACGAUGGGUGCUAGGUGUCGCGGGCAUUGACCCCUGCGGUGCCGUAGCAAACGCAUUAAGCACCCCGCCUGGGGAGUACGGCCGCAAGGCUAAAACUUAAAGGAAUUGACGG
RNAcentral lists this ribosomal RNA (397 nucleotides) under uncultured bacterium. RNAcentral's name for it is "bacterial SSU rRNA". It matches the Rfam family "Bacterial small subunit ribosomal RNA", at positions 521 to 916 of the family's 1533-position model. The record is from RNAcentral.